This 133-nucleotide small RNA is filed under the name Klebsiella quasipneumoniae. Its description in RNAcentral is "RtT sRNA". It matches the Rfam family "RtT RNA". Rfam says of the family: This family represents a bacterial cis-regulatory element known as RtT RNA. The exact function of RtT is unknown although it is thought that it may be involved in changing the cellular response in relation to amino acid starvation. RNAcentral also lists the same sequence under 1 other name. The record is from RNAcentral. Lineage: Bacteria; Pseudomonadati; Pseudomonadota; Gammaproteobacteria; Enterobacterales; Enterobacteriaceae.
UGCAUCUGUAGCCAGUGAGGAUGAGAACCUCCGGGGGCAGGAGGUUCGACUCGAGCGCAGCGAGAGAACGUUGCGUCAGCAACGGCCCGCAGGGCGAGCCACGUAGUGGCGAGUCAUCCUCUAUCACCGACCA